Molecule: long non-coding RNA, 644 nt
Filed under: Homo sapiens (human)
Lineage: Eukaryota; Metazoa; Chordata; Mammalia; Primates; Hominidae
Description: HSALNT0297312
Source: RNAcentral
UCCCUCUCCCUGUGCUGUUGCCCGGAAACUCUCUCAUGGUAGUAAGUUCAAGCAAUAGGGCUCACCUUGUUUGUUUUCCAUUUCUUAGGGAUGACUACUCUUCAUUCUCUGAUAGCUGAUGUCUCGGAAACCAUUGUUUCAUAUGUGUUGCCAGGUUGCUUUUUUUAUUGCUUCAGGCUGGAGGGUGAAUCCAGUCCCACCUACUCCAUCUUGCUCAGAAGUGGACACCUCUUCAGAAUAUAAUUGUAAAAUGAGAGAGAUCAUAACUCCAAACUUCUUAAGUGUGGGUUACACACAGUGACUUCCUUUUCUAAGAGUACAGUAUGGAGAAGAAUAAAAGACAUAACUUUAUAGUUAUCAGGGAAACCUGAUAACACCACCUCCCAGCCCAUAACUCCAGUUUCACCAUGAGGAAAACACAAAACUAACUCCAAUAUUGGGAGAAUCUAUAAAAUACCUGGCCAGAACUCAAAACCUUCAAGGUCAUCAAAAACAAGGAAAGCCUGAGGAACUGUCACAGCCAAGAGGAACCUCAAAAUACAAGACAGCAAAAUGUACUGUGAUAUCUUGGAUGGGAUACUAGAACAGGGAAAGCAUGUCAGGUAAUAUCUAAGGAAAUGUACAUAAACUACUUAGGUGAACAG